UUGGAGGGCAAGUCUGGUGCCAGCAGCCGCGGUAAUUCCAGCUCCAAUAGCUUAUAUUAAAGUUGUUGCAGUUAAAAAGCUCGUAGUUGAAUUUCGGGGUCAGUAGAUUGGUCAUGCCACUGGUAUGUACUGGUCUCACUGAUUCCUCCUUCCUGAUGAGCCGUAAUGCCAUUAAUUUGGUGUUGCGAGGAAUCUGGACUGUUACUUUGAAAAAAUUAGAGUGUUUAAAGCAGGCUAACGCUUGAAUACAUUAGCGUGGAAUAAUGAAAUAGGACGUUCGAUCUUAUUUUGUUGGUUUCUAAGAUUGACGUAAUGAUUAAUAGGGAUAGUUGGGGGCAUUAGUAUUCAAUUGUCAGAGGUGAAAUUCUUGGAUUUAUUGAAGACUAACUACUGCGAAAGCAUUUGCCAAGGAUGUUUUCAUUAAUCAAGAACGAAAGUUAGGGGAUCGAAGACGAUCAGACACCGUCGUAGUCUUAACCAUAAACUAUGCCGACUAGGGAUCGGAUGAUGUUAAUUUUUUAAUGACUCAUUCGGCGCCUUACGGGAAAC
This 549-nucleotide ribosomal RNA is filed under the name uncultured Glomerales. RNAcentral describes it as "SSU rRNA". It matches the Rfam family "Eukaryotic small subunit ribosomal RNA", at positions 548 to 1098 of the family's 1831-position model. Lineage: Eukaryota; Fungi; Glomeromycota; Glomeromycetes; Glomerales; Glomeraceae. The record is from RNAcentral.